CCUACUGGGAGCAGCAGUAGGGAAUCUUCCACAAUGGACGAAAGUCUGAUGGAGCAACGCCGCGUGAGUGAAGACGGGUUUCGGCUCGUAAAGCUCUGUUGGUAGUGAAGAAAGGUAGAGGUAGUAACUGGCCUGUAUUUGACGGUAAUUACUUAGAAAGUCACGGCUAACUACGUGCAAGCAGCGGCGGUAAUACGGAGGUGGCAAGCGUUGUCCGGAGUUAUUGGGCGUAAAGCGAGUGCCGGCGGUGCAAUAAGUCUGAUGUGAAAGCCUUCGGCUCAACCGGAGAAUUGCAUCAGAAACGGUUGAACUUGAGUGCAGAAGAGGAGAGUGGAACUCCAUGUGUAGCGGUGGAAUGCGUAGAUAUAUGGAAGAACACCAGUGGCGAAGGCGGCUCUCUGGUCUGCCACUGACGCUGAGGCUCGAAAGCAUGGGUAGCGAACAGGAUUAGAUACCCGGGUAGUC
RNAcentral lists this ribosomal RNA (465 nucleotides) under uncultured bacterium. RNAcentral describes it as "partial 16S ribosomal RNA". It matches the Rfam family "Bacterial small subunit ribosomal RNA", at positions 338 to 795 of the family's 1533-position model. The record is from RNAcentral.